Molecule: ribosomal RNA, 301 nt
Filed under: uncultured Streptomyces sp.
Lineage: Bacteria; Bacillati; Actinomycetota; Actinomycetes; Kitasatosporales; Streptomycetaceae
Description: bacterial SSU rRNA
Rfam family: Bacterial small subunit ribosomal RNA
Source: RNAcentral
CGCUCACUCCGUCCCAGCCGGCUCGGCAAUACGGAGGGUGCAAGCCUUAAUCAGAUUGACUUGGCUGAAAGGGCGUGUAGGCGGACGGAUAAGGCAGAGGGGAAAUCCCGGGGCUCAACUCCGGAACAGCAUUUGAAACUGUGAGACUAGAGGGUAGAUGGAGAAAACGGAAUUCCACAAGUAGCGGUGAAAUGCGUAGAUAUGUGGAAGAACACCUGUGGCGAAAGCGGUUUUCUAAUUUAUACCUGACGCUGAGGCGCGAAAGCUAGGGGAGCAAACAGGAUUAGAUACCCCUGUAGUC